UCUGCCGCUGCCCGCCCGCCGGCCCGCUGCGGGCUCGUCCUGGCGCCGUCGGGGCGGCCUCUGCGGCGCGGGCGCUGCGGGCGGGGAGCGCGGGCUGCGAGGGGCCGCGGGCGCCGUCGCAGGGGCACGAGCCCGACGAAUCUGAGGAGGAGGCCGGGGACGUGGAGUCCGGGUGGCCGGCCCAGCCCCAGCCCUGGGGCAAGAUCCAGUGGUCGUGGCCCGGGAGGCUGUGCAGAGGAGGGGACUGGGCCAUGGCCGGGGCUGCAGUGGGCUCUGGGAGGCUGGGCCGGCCACCUCCAGGCCUGAGCUUUUAUCUGGACCAAAGCAUUAAUACUACAGACCGCCCACCACCUGGGGUGUCAGCUGGUACUCAGCGGAACCGACUGGAUCCGUUCAGUCCUGGGCCCGGCAGGUCUGUAGAGCUGGAGAGGUGCAACAGCCUCGUGACCUCCAGUAAGGGUCCGAAAAUCCAGAAUUAUGCCCACCCUCAGAGCCAGCCUGGAGGAGUUUCCUGUGAAAGGAUUUGAUGAGUGGCUGCGUGUUCUCCCGGAGGAAGGUCUACGGCGACGCUGCCACCGCCUCUGUUCCCAGCCUCGUCAAGGGCAUCGUUAUGACCUUGAAUGAAGAUAUGAAUUGGUCUACGUGGGGGUAGGGUCCAUCGCAGCAAGCGAAUUGGAUAACAGCCAGGAUCUAGAGAGAGGCUGACAGGCAGGAGCAGCCCUACCAGAUCGAAUAAGGAAGGUCAUUGCCCGAGUACGUGGUCAAAUGUGGGGGCCACUAUUCAUGAUGGAAGGAAGCAGGCCCUAGCCAUGGACGGCAAGUCUGGCUCAGCGGGCCUCCAGAGCAACCUGGAACCAUCAAGUCACCACGACCCUUGGCUCGGCCGGCCAGUGGGGUGCAGUCCGGUGUCCACGAUCCUUUCAUACAGGUGAGGAGAAUCAUCCUCCCCAGGGCACUUCCCCAACUUUGCCCCAGGCCAGCAGUCCCAGGAGAAGGGCACAGAGGCCAAGGCUGGCCCCUGAACAUUCUCAGUCAGCUCCGGCCCUGCAAGAGGCUGUGGGAGGCCAGUGACGGCGGCCCAGCCUGCUCCGCGUGUCUCAGCACAGGCCCUCCGGUCUGUUCGCCCCCAGCCCCGCUCCUGGAAGUCCCGCAGCUGCUCUUUCCCCUGGGCAGGCCGUGCAGGGCCCCCGGGAGCAGGUCCGAGGACCCGGAGCCUGGGGGAGGCCUGGCCUCUGCCCUCUAGGUCUUCUUCGCCUGCUUCCCCCUAGGGUUCCUGCCAAGCCCUGGGUGUGGGAACAUGGGAGGGAAGGAGAGGCUGGGCACAUGGGGGGCUGCAGCAGUGUGUGGUAUUCUCAUUACCGGGGAGCAGAAAGGGCCAGGCCAGCCCCCCACCCCCCACCCCCGUCCCCGGGCCACUGUGGCCGCCUUCACACCUCCUCUCGGCUGUUGACACAAGGCCACCUCCCCCAGGGCGGAAGGUGUCGACUUGGGAACCACGGUGUUCAGGGGCCUCCAAAACAGGCAGCAGGUCCUCUCAGAAACCCCAGAAAGCCCUUCUGGGGUGGGGGUGGGAGGCUGCAGGUCCCCACCCCCGGAGGCCCAGGGAGGAGGGAGGGCCUGUGUCCUGGGGACGGGGAGGAGGAAGCGGGAAGUGGGGGAAGACAGGAGCCCCGAGUCCACCUGCCCAUUCCAUCCCUCUCCUGGCUCUGGGGGCUGGUGCAUGACAAGGUCCUGCCCGGCAGUGCCAUCAGUGUCACCAGGGGGCCCAGAGACUGAAGCCACCAGGGCAAGGUCACCCUGACAGGACUUCCUGACCGCCCGGUCUCCUGAGCCCUUUUAGACCGCACUGCGCCCACCGCCACCUGCAGGAGCCUCAUCACUGCUCAGACCCCGUGACUUCUGGCCUGUCAUUCUCCCCGUGCUUGGACAGGCCAGGCCCAGAGAAGUCAGCCCCUCAGCCUUCAUGCCCCAGAGUCAGGAUUCAGAUCCACGGAGGCCACGCACCAGGCACCAUGGGGAAACUCUGCCCCAGGCGGAGGGGAGGCUCUGGGGAGGGACGAGCCCUCUGGAAUCCAGAACUUGGCCUAGCGUGCCGGGAGCCCAGGCCCACAGAGGGGCACGACCAGGCCAAGUGAUCAGGACAGGACCCAGGAGGAAGUUGGGGGGGGACCCAGAGUUGUGGGUAUUCUCCUGGCAGAGGGACGAGGUGGGUGUGUGCAUCUGGGAGGGGGAAGUUCCCCCUCCUCAAACCCCUCCGCUGCCCGCAGCAGCUCCAGGCAGUGCAGGUGGGCUGGGGCCCCGCCCAGAGAGGUGGGAGAGGCAGAGGACUAGCAAGCCGGAGGAGGUGGGGGUUCAAAAGGCUACUGACUGGUGAGCUGGGACUCCUAGGGAGGGAGGCAGUGGGAACACAGACAUUCUGAGUAAGGAGGGGGGCAGAAGCUGCCCAGCAGGUCGGGUGCCCUUCUCCAAGAGGGCUGAGCCAGGGAGGCUGGCGUGAGAGGGCAUGCCGAGGCCCCAGGACUGCCUAGUCCAGCUCCCGGGGCAGCAAGGCCCAGUGGGGGGGUGGGGAGGGGGCUCAGGCCUAGGGCCAGCCAUGCCUGGGCUCCAUCCCUCGAACCUCAGUCUCCUCCUCUAUGAAAUGGGUGUCCUUGCUGGGAGGAUUCGCUGGAGCAUCAUGGGUUUGGCAUGUGGGACUCCAGAUGUCUUGCCUGCCUGCCCGGCUUGAGAGAAGCGACCACUUGUGCUCCUGCAGCUCCGGGAAAGGACAGAAGGGGAGAGUGAGGACCACGCACUCCUGCGACCCAGGCUCUGGGAGGGAAGACCCAGCCUUCUGGCCCCCCAAGACACCAGAAGGCAUGGGCCCACCUGCUGGAAUGCAAACAAGUUUGGGCUGGUUCUGCAAAGUUUUUCCCUCCCCUCCUCUUCCCGGCCCUUCUCUCCCCCUCGCUGCCUUCCUUUUCUGUCUCUUACUUUAAUUAUCAAAGCGAGGCAUGCGCCUUACAGGAAAGUGAGAAAAUGUAGGCAAAUCAAAAGGAAUUUUAAAUGCCCCUGGUUCCAUCUACCCAGAGAGAACCAGCUUAACACCAGAUCGGCACCAGGUUGGCGCGGAUCCUGGAUCCUAAACUUCUCCGGGCAGCCCUGCAAAUUCGCGAGCACAGAGAGAGGCGUGAAGGGGAGUAUGUCAGGGCUUUUCUGUUUGUUUUUUGUUUGUUUAUUUUUGCAUUUCUUGAAGUUUCUGGUAUAUAUAUCUAUAUAUUUUUAAGAUUACUUUAGAGAGUGCACGCAUGCACGCGGCAGGGAGGGUUGAAGGGCGGGGGAGAGCAUCUCAAGCCGAUUCCCGGCUGAGCCGGGACACGGGGCUCAAUCCCACGACCCUGAGAUCAUGACAUGAGCCGAAAUCAAGAGGACACUUAACCACCAGGUGCCCCAUGUUUUCUUUUUUUAUACGAGCUUUAUUGAGAAAUAAUUCAAACAUUGCGCUUUCGCCUGUGUAAAGGGUACAGUCCACUAGUUUUGUAGAUACAUUGCAUUAAAAAACCAUUAUAAAAUAUAUAUGACAGAAUGUGCCAUCUUACCUGGUUUUCAGUGGUGUUAAUUACAUCCGCAGCAUAAUGCAGUGGUCACUUCUUUCCACAGCUUUCCAUCACCAUGAGUAGAAGCACGGUACCCGGGGCGCCUGGGUAGCUCAGUGGGUUAAAGCCUCUGCCUUUGGCUCAGGUCAUGAUCCCAGAGUCCUGGGAUUGAGCCCCACAUUGGGCUCUCUGCAUGGCAGGGAGCCUGCUUCCUCCUCUCUCUCUGCCUGCCUCUCUGCCUAUUUGUGAUCUCUGUCAAAUAAGUAAAUAAAAUCUUUUUUUUUUUUUUUUUAAAGCACGGUACCCAUUAAGCAACAGCUGCCCCUGGUAACCUCUCGACCGUGUCCUGUCUCUACGAAUCUGGCUGCUCUGGGUGCCUCUUGGCAGUGGAAUCAGUGCGCGCUUUUUCUAUAUGGCUCACUUUAUAACGCCCUUGAGUUUCAUCCACGGCGUAGCAUGUGUCCCAAGUUUAUUCUUUUCUGUGGCUGAGAAGUAUUCCUGUGUCCAUAUAGACCGCAUUCUGUUUGCCCAUUCAUCUGCUGGUGGACCUUCAGCUUGUUCCCACCUUUUGGCUGAUUGUGCCUAAUGCUCCUCCGAAAGUUGCCGUACAAACCUCUGUUCUAGUCCCUGUUUUCAAGUCCUUUGGGUAUGAAAAGGGCAGGUUGUUUUGUGACCAACUUUUUUUGCUAAUGUAUUAACAUUCUCCAUAUCAGUAGUUGUAAAUUUUUUUUUUUUUUUUUUUUUUUUUUAGAUUUUACUUCUUUAUGUGAGAGAGAACAUGUGUGGGAGUCAGUGGAGUCCAGGGGCCGAGCCAGGGCCCUGGGCCCCAGGGGCGAAGGUCAGCCCAGAGUGAGGCAAAUCCUGCCUUCUGACAGCCCUGGGGCUCAGGACAGGAGGCCGCACCUGGCAGCAUGGAGGGCAGCGAGACCAGAACGAAAGCUUCCUGUAGCCCCCCAGCAGUGAGAAUGGGGUCAGAGGGAGCGAGGGUGACGCUGCGUGGGUUCACCCACUUCCGAAGCCAGCCCCACAUCUCCGGUUCCUGGUGCCCAUCAGCCCACCCACUGCACCCAGGCCCUGGCCCUGUCCCUAGGACAGAGGCCCCUGACUCGCGGAGGUAGGUGUGCCCUGCUCAUAUCCCCGGACCCCGGGUGGCUGGGCAGUGCCCUCUGCUGGUGAUGGCUGGGAAUUCGCGGACCUACUCCAGUGGACCCAGGGUCAACCCGCUGGCCAGAGAUGGGAGCCUUCCAAGCGGGGUGUACAGUCUCCCCCCCCAGCCCCC
This is a long non-coding RNA of Mustela lutreola (European mink), 4851 nucleotides long. RefSeq lists it as uncharacterized. The transcript has 8 exons. Lineage: Eukaryota; Metazoa; Chordata; Mammalia; Carnivora; Mustelidae. The record is from RefSeq and is a predicted model, not a curated record.